CCUUCGAUAGCUCAGCUGGAAGAGCGUGAGACUGUAAUGGCUACGUAUUGAUCUCAAGGUCACUGGUUCGAGCCCGGUUCGAAGGA
This is a non-coding RNA of Fomitopsis betulina (razor strop fungus), 86 nucleotides long. NCBI's taxonomy places the organism in Eukaryota, Fungi, Basidiomycota, Agaricomycetes, Polyporales, Fomitopsidaceae. The record is from the annotation of a GenBank genome assembly.